UACGUAGGUGGCAAGCGUUGUCCGGAAUUAUUGGGCGUAAAGCGCGCGCAGGCGGUCCUUUAAGUCUGAUGUGAAAGCCCAAGGCUCAACCGUGGAGGGUCAUUGGAAACUGGGGGACUUGAGUGCAGAAGAGGAAAGCGGAAUUCCACGUGUAGCGGUGAAAUGCGUAGAGAUGUGGAGGAACACCAGUGGCGAAGGCGGCUUUCUGGUCUGUAACUGACGCUGAGGCGCGAAAGCGUGGGGAGCAAACAGG
Molecule: ribosomal RNA, 253 nt
Filed under: uncultured bacterium
Lineage: Bacteria
Description: partial 16S ribosomal RNA
Rfam family: Bacterial small subunit ribosomal RNA
Source: RNAcentral